GACGAACGCUGGCGGCGUGCUUAACACAUGCAAGUCGAACGGUGAAGCGCCUUCCUUUUUGGUGGGUGUGGAUGAGUGGCGAACGGGUGAGUAACACGUGAGUAACCUGCCCCCUUCUUCUGGAUAACCGCAUGAAAGUGUGGCUAAUACGGGAUAUUCUGGGUCUGUCGCAUGAUGGGUCUGGGAAAGAUAUUGUUUCGGUGGGGGAUGGGCUCGCGGCCUGUCAGCUUGUUGGUGGGGUGAUGGCCUACCAAGGCGGUGACGGGUAGCCGGCCUGGGAGGGUGGACGGUCACACUGGGACUGAGACACGGCCCAGACUCCUACGGGAGGCAGCAGUGGGGAAUAUUGCACAAUGGGCGCAAGCCUGAUGCAGCGACGCCGCGUGAGGGAUGGAGGCCUUCGGGUUGUGAACCUCUUUCGCCAGUGAAGCAGGCCUGCCUCGUUUGUGGGUGGGUUGACGGUAGCUGGAGAAGAAGCGCCGGCUAACUACGUG
Molecule: ribosomal RNA, 494 nt
Filed under: uncultured bacterium
Lineage: Bacteria
Description: partial 16S ribosomal RNA
Rfam family: Bacterial small subunit ribosomal RNA
Source: RNAcentral